This 347-nucleotide unclassified non-coding RNA is filed under the name uncultured fungus. RNAcentral describes it as "sequence contains ITS1". The stretch from base 1 to 105 matches the Rfam family "5.8S ribosomal RNA", at positions 50 to 154 of the family's 154-position model. Lineage: Eukaryota; Fungi. The record is from RNAcentral.
GAAAUGCGAUACGUAGUGUGAAUUGCAGAAUUCCGUGAAUCAUCAAAUCUUUGAACGCAUAUUGCGCUCAAGGCCUCGGCCGAGAGCAUGUCUGCCUCAGCGUCGGGUUAAUACUCGCUCAACUACUCAUUGUAUGAGAGCGGAUCUGGCUGUCCCAAGCUUGAGCCUAGCUUGAGCUUGGGUUGGCUGAAGCAAAGAGAUCAAUGCAGGACCCGCUAUGGGCCGCAACUGGGUAGGCAACUUGUUGCUAUUCUUAGUUGUUGGCUUGGGAUUUGCAUUCGAUCCCUAACCAGGAACCCAUCUAUUUUCUCGACCUGAGCUCAGGCAAGAACACCCGCUGAACUUAA